Molecule: ribosomal RNA, 497 nt
Filed under: uncultured bacterium
Lineage: Bacteria
Description: partial 16S ribosomal RNA
Rfam family: Bacterial small subunit ribosomal RNA
Source: RNAcentral
GAUGAACGCUGGCGGCGUGCCUAAUACAUGCAAGUCGAGCGAACAGAUGAGGAGCUUGCUCCUCUUACGUUAGCGGCGGACGGGUGAGUAACACGUGGAUAACCUACCUAUAAGACUGGGAUAACUUCGGGAAACCGGAGCUAAUACCGGAUAAUAUAUUGAACCGCAUGGUUCAAUAGUGAAAGACGGAUUUGCUGUCACUUAUAGAUGUAUCCGCGCCGCAUUAGCUAGUUGGUAAGGUAACGGCUUACCAAGGCAACGAUGCGUAGCCGACCUGAGAGGGUGAUCGGUCACACUGGAACUGAGACACGGUCCAGACUCCUACGGGAGGCAGCAGUAGGGAAUCUUCCGCAAUGGGCGAAAGCCUGACGGAGCAACGCCGCGUGAGUGAUGAAGGUCUUCGGAUCGUAAAACUCUGUUAUUAGGGAAGAACAAAUGUGUAAGUAACUAUGCACGUCUUGACGGUACCUAAUCAGAAAGCCACGGCUAACUACGUG